Molecule: transfer RNA, 68 nt
Filed under: Meriones meridianus (mid-day jird)
Lineage: Eukaryota; Metazoa; Chordata; Mammalia; Rodentia; Muridae
Description: tRNA-Gly
Source: RNAcentral
AUUCUCUUAGUAUAAACAGUACAAUUGACUUCCAAUCAGUUAGAUCUAGUAAACCCUAGAAGAGAAUA